CGUGUAGGCGGCCUUUUAAGUCAGACGUGAAAUCCAUGGGCUUAACCCAUGAAUUGCGUUUGAAACUGGAGGGCUUGAGGAUCGGAGAGGGCAGUGGAAUUCCCAGUGUAGCGGUGAAAUGCGUAGAUAUUGGGAGGAACACCAGUGGCGAAGGCGACUGCCUGGACGACACCUGACGCUGAGGCGCGAAAGCUAGGGGAGCAAACGGGAUUAGAUACCCCGGUAGUCCUAGCCGUAAACGAUGGGUACUAGGUGUGGGAGGUAUCGACCCCUUCCGUGCCGCAGUUAACACAAUAAGUACCCCGCUGGGGAGUACGGCCGCAAGGUUGAA
This 331-nucleotide ribosomal RNA is filed under the name uncultured bacterium. RNAcentral describes it as "bacterial SSU rRNA". It matches the Rfam family "Bacterial small subunit ribosomal RNA", at positions 568 to 898 of the family's 1533-position model. The record is from RNAcentral.